UUUAAGUUUGGCUGGAUCAGAUAGUUAGGUCAGUAGAGCAUGAGACUCUUCAUCUCAAGUUUGUGGGUUUGAGCCCCACAUUGGGGAAAA
Molecule: non-coding RNA, 90 nt
Organism: Podarcis lilfordi (Lilford's wall lizard)
Lineage: Eukaryota; Metazoa; Chordata; Lepidosauria; Squamata; Lacertidae
Source: the annotation of a GenBank genome assembly